Non-coding RNA from Nicotiana tabacum (common tobacco), 1504 nucleotides. The record is from RefSeq and is a predicted model, not a curated record. Lineage: Eukaryota; Viridiplantae; Streptophyta; Magnoliopsida; Solanales; Solanaceae.
AACGAAUUGGUGUAAAAAUGUUGCAGGACUCAAAGUUGGAGAAAAUGGUGUGCCUCCUGGUUUUGAUCAACCAUUUGAAGGUGAUACUGAUCUUUUACCUCACGAAGAAGAAGAGAUGCAUGAUACUCUGAGAAGUGAAAUAAGACUCAAAGUUAGAGAAAAUGUUGCGCCUCCUGGUUUUGAUCAAAUAUUUGAAGGGCCAUGUGAAUCUGAAAAAGUAAAAAAAGUGAGAGGAACGAAUAGGUGUAAAAAAGUUGCAGGACUCAAAGUUGGAGAAAAGUUGCGCCACUUUCUACCACAAUAGGGUUGUUGGGCAGCAUCAUGCCUCAUUUACGAGACACUUGAGUAUAUUAGUCCGUGAUCGUAAUAUGUGCCCAUUACGUGUACACUCAUGGGCAGAUAUCGAAGAAUAUAAGCUGCAACACAUGUGGGAAGCUGUUACGGACAAAUUUGACAGUGAUGACAUAAAUGAUCAACGAGAUCAUGUCUUGAAACAUAUGAGAAAGUUAUGGAACAAUUGGAGAGGAUCGAUGCACAAGAAUGUUAAGUCUAAGCCAUUCCGUUAUGCUAUAAAAUAUGUGCCAGAGGGGGUAGACAAGAGUGAUUGGGAAUGGCCGGUCAAAGAGCAUUUUUUUACUGAAAAAUUUAAGGAGACAAAGUACAAGAAACUCGGUCAAUAAGUCUAGGUUGAGUAUGCCUCAUCGUACGGGUAGUAAACCGAUUAGGGAGAUCAUUUAUGAAUUGGUGAGUAAAUCUUAUAAUUCUAUUAAGAAACCUCAUCUUUGUUACAAAAAUUACUUUGACUUGUUUAUUGUAAUGUGAAUGGAGGUAAAGAUGGUAAUCCACCAGAUAUGGCAACUAUUUUUUUGAGACUCAUAAGAAGAACAACAAGCUUGUCGAACCGAAAACUAGCGAGAAAUAUGAUAAAAUUAAAGAAUUGGUGCAAUCUGAAUUGUCUCUUACAAAUAUUGAGGUUGUAGAAAGGUGUUUCGGACCUCAACAAAAGAGUCAUGUAGUUGGAUUUGGUGGUGGGAUAACCGCUAAGGAGUUGAAAGGUGGUAACUCCGCUAAAGCUGCAUUAUUGGAAAAACUGAAUGCUACUGUAAAAGAAAAUGAAUCACUAAAAGGACAUUUGGAAGUGCUAGAGAGUAAAUAUGAUGAGCUCUCUUCAAGUGAUCAAUAGAUUGAAUCAUAUAACGGGUUAGUACAUUGAAAAUCAUAUUUUACUCUAUGAUGAAAAUAUUGAAAUGCUCAUGUGAAUUUUUUCUUUAUGUCAUUAAGGUUUAUUCAAAGCAAUUUACACACUUGUAUUUUGGGUGUUUUCCUAUUUCUCUAGGGAGGAUUCGAUGCUUAGGUUUUGCCUUUGGCAAAGGCAAAGUCCCUGUCUUUUCAUGUCUAGAUCCGUAUGAUGGAAAUUCCCCAGUUUAGAUGCUAUGCCUUAUCUAUUGAAUUGUGUCUUAGUGCUGGAAUCCUAGUCAUAGAAAUCUUAAUGAUUUGUUUUAGA